GACGAACGCUGGCGGCGUGCUUAACACAUGCAAGUCGAACGGAAAGGCCCUGCUUUUGUGGGGUGCUCGAGUGGCGAACGGGUGAGUAACACGUGAGUAACCUGCCCUUGACUUUGGGAUAACUUCAGGAAACUGGGGCUAAUACCGGAUAGGAGCUCCUGCUGCAGGGGGGGGGUUGGAAAGUUUCGGCGGUUGGGGAUGGACUCGCGGCUUAUCAGCUUGUUGGUGGGGUAGUGGCUUACCAAGGCUUUGACGGGUAGCCGGCCUGAGAGGGUGACCGGCCACAUUGGGACUGAGAUACGGCCCAGACUCCUACGGGAGGCAGCAGUGGGGAAUAUUGCACAAUGGGCGGAAGCCUGAUGCAGCAACGCCGCGUGCGGGAUGACGGCCUUCGGGUUGUAAACCGCUUUCGCCUGUGACGAAGCGUGAGUGACGGUAAUGGGUAAAGAAGCACCGGCUAACUACGUG
RNAcentral lists this ribosomal RNA (468 nucleotides) under uncultured bacterium. RNAcentral describes it as "partial 16S ribosomal RNA". It matches the Rfam family "Bacterial small subunit ribosomal RNA", at positions 28 to 507 of the family's 1533-position model. The record is from RNAcentral.